RNAcentral lists this ribosomal RNA (465 nucleotides) under uncultured bacterium. RNAcentral describes it as "partial 16S ribosomal RNA". It matches the Rfam family "Bacterial small subunit ribosomal RNA", at positions 28 to 506 of the family's 1533-position model. The record is from RNAcentral.
GAUGAACGCUGGCGGCGUGCUUAACACAUGCAAGUCGAACGAUGAAGCUCAGCUUGCUGGGUGGAUUAGUGGCGAACGGGUGAGUAACACGUGAGUAACCUGCCCUUAACUCUGGGAUAAGCCUGGGAAACUAGGUCUAAUACCGGAUAGGAGCGCCUACCGCAUGGUGGGUGUUGGAAAGAUUUAUCGGUUUUGGAUGGACUCGCGGCCUAUCAGCUUGUUGGUGAGGUAAUGGCUCACCAAGGCGACGACGGGUAGCCGGCCUGAGAGGGUGACCGGCCACACUGGGACUGAGACACGGCCCAGACUCCUACGGGAGGCAGCAGUGGGGAAUAUUGCACAAUGGGCGAAAGCCUGAUGCAGCGACGCCGCGUGAGGGAUGACGGCCUUCGGGUUGUAAACCUCUUUCAGUAGGGAAGAAGCGAAAGUGACGGUACCUGCAGAAGAAACACCGGCUAACUACGU